RNAcentral lists this ribosomal RNA (254 nucleotides) under uncultured bacterium. RNAcentral's name for it is "partial 16S ribosomal RNA". It matches the Rfam family "Bacterial small subunit ribosomal RNA", at positions 524 to 776 of the family's 1533-position model. The record is from RNAcentral.
UACAGAGGGUGCGAGCGUUGUCCGGAAUCACUGGGCGUAAAGGGCGCGUAGGUGGUGGCUUAAGCGUGCGGUGAAAGCUCGGGGCUCAACUCCGAGUCGGCCGUGCGAACUGGGCUCACUGGAGCAUAGUAGAGGCAGGUGGAAUUCCGGGUGUAGCGGUGGAAUGCGUAGAGAUCCGGAAGAACACCGGUGGCGAAGGCGGCCUGCUGGGCUAUGGCUGACACUGAGGAGCGAAAGCGUGGGGAGCGAACAGG